RNAcentral lists this ribosomal RNA (662 nucleotides) under bacterium enrichment culture clone F7 1.713-41. Its description in RNAcentral is "bacterial SSU rRNA". It matches the Rfam family "Bacterial small subunit ribosomal RNA", at positions 8 to 660 of the family's 1533-position model. The record is from RNAcentral.
AGAGUUUGAUCAUGGCUCAGAACAAACGCUGGCGGCGUGUCUUAAGCAUGCAAGUCGAGCGGCAGGCGCAGCAAUGCGCUGAGAGCGGCGGACUGGUGAGUAACGCGUGGGUAAUCUACCUUUGGCAUGGGGAUAGCCACUAGAAAUAGUGGGUAAUACCGAAUACGUUCCCUGGGGGGAGGUUUCAGGGAAGAAAGGGUGCUACGGCACCGGCCGGAGAUGAGCUCGCGUCCCAUUAGCUUGUUGGUGAGGUAACGGCCCACCAAGGCGAUGAUGGGUAGCCGGCCUGAGAGGGUGUACGGCCACACUGGGACUGAGACACGGCCCAGACUCCUACGGGAGGCAGCAGCUAAGAAUAUUCCGCAAUGGACGAAAGUCUGACGGAGCGACGCCGCGUGGAUGAUGAAGGCCGAAAGGUUGUAAAGUCCUUUUGCUGGGGAAGAAUAAGUGUGGGAGGGAAUGCCCGCAUGAUGACAUGAACCGGCGAAUAAGCCCCGGCUAACUACGUGCCAGCAGCCGCGGUAACACGUAGGGGGCGAGCGUUGUUCGGAAUUACUGGGCGUAAAGGGCAUGUAGGCGGUCUGGUAAGCCUGGCGUGAAAGGCCACAGCUCAACUGUGGGAUUGCGUUGGGAACUGCUGGGCUUGAGUUAUGGAGAGGGAG